RNAcentral lists this transfer RNA (67 nucleotides) under Burkholderia lata. RNAcentral's name for it is "tRNA-Gly". Lineage: Bacteria; Pseudomonadati; Pseudomonadota; Betaproteobacteria; Burkholderiales; Burkholderiaceae. The record is from RNAcentral.
AUCGCGCUAGCGCGGGUGACGGGCGGUUUGCCGGACCGCCCGGUUGCGUUCGCGCUGCAGCGCGACG